This 108-nucleotide small RNA is filed under the name Salmonella enterica. Its description in RNAcentral is "partial RtT sRNA". It matches the Rfam family "RtT RNA", at positions 24 to 130 of the family's 130-position model. From Rfam's summary of the family: This family represents a bacterial cis-regulatory element known as RtT RNA. The exact function of RtT is unknown although it is thought that it may be involved in changing the cellular response in relation to amino acid starvation. The record is from RNAcentral. Lineage: Bacteria; Pseudomonadati; Pseudomonadota; Gammaproteobacteria; Enterobacterales; Enterobacteriaceae.
GAGAAGCUUCGACCAAGGUUCGAUUCGAGCGCAGCGAGAAAGCGUUGCCGCAGGCAACGACCCGAAGGGCGAAGCGCGCAGCGCUGAGUAAUCCUUCCCCCACCACCA